Molecule: long non-coding RNA, 1788 nt
Organism: Triticum aestivum (bread wheat)
Lineage: Eukaryota; Viridiplantae; Streptophyta; Magnoliopsida; Poales; Poaceae
Exons: 6
Source: RefSeq, a predicted model, not a curated record
CCUCUCUACCACACCACCUCUCGGCCGCCGCUGCCUCUCCCAUCCCAGACUCUUCUCCUCUGCCGUGCCACAGGCCCCUUUCUCCCUCGUCGAUCUGCGGCGGGUACGGGGACGCCCAAGGACGGAGAGAUCCCGGUGGUGGUUGGGCGCCGUUGACCUCAUGCAUGGAGGCAAGGCAGAGGGUGGCUGCGGCGGUGCCGGUCACCGUGGCGGCAGGCGGCAGUUCGAGGGGCAGGGAGGUCGGGGAUGGAUGGAUCCGGCAGCCCCCGUCCGGAACCGAGGCGGUGGGCGCUCGGGGUCGCCGACGGUGGCCUCACGGGCGGACGGAGAGGAUCGCGUCGGGGUCGGUGAAGCCGUUCAUGAUGCACUUGCGAGCGGCCGAGAAGCAGUUCGCCAUCCGGCUGUAGCUGGACCGGCGUGUCGCGUGGUUCAGCAAGGGCACCCUCGAUAGAUGAAAUGGAUAGGUCAGUUGAUUACGACUUCAAAGCUUCAACCAUCUUGGAGAAUUUGGUUUAAGUGUCUAGAGUUGUCAUGUUUAUUUUGUUAUACAUAUAUGGUUUCAGUCAAUUUGAGUUGACUCACAUCAGGCACAGGUUGGUUCAUUCACUUCCUUCAUUUGAUUCAUGUAUAUGUACAGGGCGAAGUGUUAGUUUUCUUUAAUUCAGCCCUAGAACCUGAGAUAAUAAUGCAUGUGAAGAGGUCUGCUCUAGAAAAAUAGAUAGAGCUCUUCAGUGGCAUAUAUAUUGGGUGAUACUACUCAAGAAGCUGGUUCCUUUGUGCAUGAAGGUUCACGCGCUUUAUGAAAACAUGCUCAUGUAUCAAGCAGAUCGUUCAUCAUCUUAUGUACGUUAACAUUGGAUAAUCAAAAAUAAUAUUAAAGCAAUUAUAGGAUUUGUAUCAUGUUGUUUUUUCUCAAACCGGACAUAUUUGAUGAUAUUCAACCUAGCUCAAAAUAUGUCGUAUACAUUUGAAUUCAAAGAGCAACUGCAGUCAAACCUUCUGCAGAGGAUCUUGCCGCCGGCCACGCGGUCGACAAAGCCCGGUGCCAGUCACGGGAAGUCCUCCUUGCCUGCCUCGCCCAGGCAUCUCAAGCAUUCCUGCUGGAUUACAUGGAGCAGACCAGGCAGCAGAUCAGGCAGAUUGGAAUUGAAGAGGGUGUUUACUCGAUUAUUACUUGCAUGUGGACUAGGCUGCUAGCCACCGCUGCCUCCUCUGCCCCUCAUGCAUCAACAUCACCAACAACAUCAAGCCGCUGCUGUUGCUGCACCCGGCGACGACGCAGCCGCCAUCUACCACCACCUCUUUGGGGAUCAAUUGGUUAAAAGGUGUUCGCUCAAAUUGCUUGCUGUACCAUGGCCACCGCCACCAAUUCUUCUUCUCUUCUCCGUCCGUCAAGACAAAUUAUAAUGUCGCUUUUCUUGAGCACAUCAUUCCUCUCUUCCCAGAUGUGUCAGAUUGUGAUGUUCAUGACUGUAGCGUGAAGCUAAGCACGAGAGAGAUAGUCAAGCAGCCGUGUGCAACCUCAUUGUCUCGACUCUGCACAAGAAUACAUCCUUUCCUCAUCAUUUCUUCCAUUCAAUGCAGUUAACUUGUUCUGCAGCAAACGAAUGCUCUUAUACAGAGUACUUUAGAAUUAGAGAAUCAGUUUAAGCAAAAGCAUCUCAUCACCAUUCGCUGCCCACUGUCUUGACUUAUCUUCUAUAGAUACUAGAAUAUCUAGCGGGCAAAACGACGAGGGCUAGCUGUACCAAAAUUCAGAUAGUGGGCGCAGACGCCAGGCGAUAUUCC